GUGGGGAAUAUUGGACAAUGGGGGGAACCCUGAUCCAGCCAUGCCGCGUGUGUGAAGAAGGCCUUUUGGUUGUAAAGCACUUUAAGUGGGGAGGAGGCUUACCUGGUUAAUACCUGGGCUAAGUGGACGUUACCCACAGAAUAAGCACCGGCUAACUCUGUGCCAGCAGCCGCGGUAAUACAGAGGGUGCGAGCGUUAAUCGGAUUUACUGGGCGUAAAGCGCGCGUAGGUGGUUAAUUAAGUCAAAUGUGAAAUCCCCGAGCUUAACUUGGGAAUUGCAUUCGAUACUGGUUAGCUAGAGUAUGGGAGAGGAUGGUAGAAUUCCAGGUGUAGCGGUGAAAUGCGUAGAGAUCUGGAGGAAUACCGAUGGCGAAGGCAGCCAUCUGGCCUAAUACUGACACUGAGGUGCGAAAGCAUGGGGAGCAAACAGGAUUAGAUACCCUAGUAGUCC
Molecule: ribosomal RNA, 451 nt
Filed under: uncultured bacterium
Lineage: Bacteria
Description: partial 16S ribosomal RNA
Rfam family: Bacterial small subunit ribosomal RNA
Source: RNAcentral